RNAcentral lists this small nuclear RNA (20 nucleotides) under Arabidopsis thaliana (thale cress). Its description in RNAcentral is "snRNA_04927". Lineage: Eukaryota; Viridiplantae; Streptophyta; Magnoliopsida; Brassicales; Brassicaceae. The record is from RNAcentral.
ACACUACAGCGUACACUGUU